RNAcentral lists this long non-coding RNA (903 nucleotides) under Coturnix japonica (Japanese quail). Its description in RNAcentral is "lncRNA (ENSCJPG00005007026.1)". The record is from RNAcentral. Lineage: Eukaryota; Metazoa; Chordata; Aves; Galliformes; Phasianidae.
AGGUAACAGCAACCUACCAGUUUGCAGAAAGGAAGAUUAAUAAAUCUGUGUAGCCUUUCUCAAGCUUUUCCAGGUGGGAGAGUAAAUGCUGAAAAAUAGAUGACAACAGGUGUAGGCAACAAAGAGGAACAACAAGUUGCCUACAAGCCUGCCCAUCCUUGGGGAGCCUCUGGUGCCUUGCAGAAUAUUCCUUCAAAAGGAAAUGAAAAACACUCCUCCAUUCUAGCUGAUUCCAGCAGAGGCAGAAGAACAUAGUGGUUCUAAGGAUUCUGGAAUUUAAUUGGAUUUAAGAAUAUACACUGUAACACGUACCUUCAUUUUUAAAUGAAUUUGUGCAGCCACUGAAAGCAGCCAAGACCCAUUUCAACCUGAGAAGUGCAAAGCCCAGAAAGCAACACACGCUGCAGCAGUUUAUCCAUACUGAAAGAUGCCAAGCACGUCAGUAACAGACACCGGUGCAGCAGGUUGCCACAUCUCACUCCCUCAGAGAAGAAUGGACACCCCAUUGUGCUAAGGACUACAACAGUGAGUUGGAAAUGGUGUACUCUGCUCUGGGAAUUAAAGCAAGCAGAAAACAGACUGAUACAGAGAAAAGAAACAAAUGAGAAAAUGUUGCUGGCAGAAGUCCCACAGUCAAAGCUUGCAGUUCAUAUUGGUUUCUGUAGCCUUCAGAUAAAGACAGAUUGCACCAGGAGCCUCAAAGACCUCAGAGUGUCUCAUUGCAGGUGAUAUUAGAGUUACCCUAACAGAAUGGAGGCAGUCACACAAGCCAGUAGCUGAAAUUUUUAGAAGAACUGAAGAAGCUAAUCAGUAGUAGCAGCUGGUCUUUCAGCAAUGCUGAAAGACACGUAAUGAUGACAAGAUAUGAGGGUAAUAAUUCUGAGGGCAAGUGUCUCUCAUCAG